AGGGUGACAGCCCCGUACACAAAAAUGCACAUACUGUGAGCUCGAUGAGUAGGGCGGGACACGUGGUAUCCUGUCUGAAUAUGGGGGGACCAUCCUCCAAGGCUAAAUACUCCUGACUGACCGAUAGUGAACCAGUACCGUGAGGGAAAGGCGAAAAGAACCCCGGCGAGGGGAGUGAAAAAGAACCUGAAACCGUGUACGUACAAGCAGUGGGAGCACGCUUCGGCGUGUGACUGCGUACCUUUUGUAUAAUGGGUCAGCGACUUAUAUUCUGUAGCAAGGUUAACCGAAUAGGGGAGCCGAAGGGAAACCGAGUCUUAACUGGGCGUUAAGUUGCAGGGUAUAGACCCGAAACCCGGUGAUCUAGCCAUGGGCAGGUUGAAGGUUGGGUAACACUAACUGGAGGACCGAACCGACUAAUGUUGAAAAAUUAGCGGAUGACUUGUGGCUGGGGGUGAAAGGCCAAUCAAACCGGGAGAUAGCUGGUUCUCCCCGAAAGCUAUUUAGGUAGCGCCUCGUGAAUUCAUCUCCGGGGGUAGAGCACUGUUUCGGCAAGGGGGUCAUCCCGACUUACCAACCCGAUGCAAACUGCGAAUACCGGAGAAUGUUAUUACGGGAGACACACGGCGGGUGCUAACGUCCGUCGUGAAGAGGGAAACAACCCAGACCGCCAGCUAAGGUCCCAAAGUCAUGGUUAAGUGGGAAACGAUGUGGGAAGGCCCAGACAGCCAGGAUGUUGGCUUAGAAGCAGCCAUCAUUUAAAGAAAGCGUAAUAGCUCACUGGUCGAGUCGGCCUGCGCGGAAGAUGUAACGGGGCUAAACCAUGCACCGAAGCUGCGGCAGCGACACUAUGUGUUGUUGGGUAGGGGAGCGUUCUGUAAGCCUGUGAAGGUGGCCUGUGAGGG
RNAcentral lists this ribosomal RNA (905 nucleotides) under Escherichia coli. Its description in RNAcentral is "partial 23S ribosomal RNA". It matches the Rfam family "Bacterial large subunit ribosomal RNA", at positions 361 to 1269 of the family's 2925-position model. Lineage: Bacteria; Pseudomonadati; Pseudomonadota; Gammaproteobacteria; Enterobacterales; Enterobacteriaceae. The record is from RNAcentral.